This is a non-coding RNA of Labeo rohita (rohu), 82 nucleotides long. The record is from the annotation of a RefSeq genome assembly. NCBI's taxonomy places the organism in Eukaryota, Metazoa, Chordata, Actinopteri, Cypriniformes, Cyprinidae.
GUAGUCGUGGCCGAGAGGCUAAGGCGAUGGACUCGAAAUCCAUUGGGGUUUCCCCGCGCAGAUUUGAGCCCUGCCGACUACG